RNAcentral lists this ribosomal RNA (1487 nucleotides) under uncultured rumen bacterium. RNAcentral describes it as "bacterial SSU rRNA". It matches the Rfam family "Bacterial small subunit ribosomal RNA". The record is from RNAcentral.
AGAGUUUGAUCCUGGCUCAGGAUGAACGCUGGCGGCGUGCCUAAUACAUGCAAGUCGAGCGAGAAGCUACUUUGACGCGUUUUCGGACAAGUCUGUGUAGUGGAAAGCGGCGGACGGGUGAGUAACGCGUAGGCAACCUGCCCUUAGCAGAGGGAUAGCCAUUGGAAACGAUGAUUAAAACCUCAUAAAGCUGCAUAAACACAUGUAGAUGCAGCCAAAGAUUUAUCGGCUAAGGAUGGGCCUGCGUCUGAUUAACUAGUUGGCGGGGUAACGGCCCACCAAGGUGACGAUCAGUAGCCGACCUGAGAGGGUGAUCGGCCACAUUGGAACUGAGACACGGUCCAAACUUCUACGGAAGGCAGCAGUAAGGAAUCUUGCACAAUGGGGGAAACCCUGAUGCAGCACCGCCGCGUGAGUGAUGACGGCCUUCGGGUUGUAAAGCUCUGAUCUUGGGGAAGAAGAAAGUGACGGUACCCAAGGAGAAAGCCCCGGCUAACUACGUGCCAGCAGCCGCGGUAAUACGUAGGGGGGCAAGCGUUAUCCGGAAUUAUUGGGCGUAAAGAGUGCGUAGGUGGUUACCUAAGCGCAAGGUUUAAUCUUGAGGCUCAACCUCAUUCUGCCUUGCGAACUGGGCUACUUGAGUGCUGGGAGGGGAAAGCGGAAUUCCCAGUGUAGCGGUGAAAUGCGUAGAUAUUGGGAAGAACACCGGUGGCGARKGCGGCUUUCUGGACAGUAACUGACACUGAGGCACGAAAGCGUGGGGAGCAAACAGGAUUAGAUACCCUGGUAGUCCACGCCGUAAACGAUGAGCACUAGUUGUUGGGUCCGAWUGGAUUCAGUGACGCAGUUAACGCAAUAAGUGCUCCGCCUGGGGAGUACGGUGGCAACACUAAAACUCAAAGGAAUUGACGGGGACCCGCACAAGCAGCGGAGCAUGUGGUUUAAUUCGAAGCAACGCGAAAAACCUUACCAGGGCUUGACAUCCCUCUGAAAGAACCCUUAACCGGGUUCCUCCUUCGGGCAGAGGUGACAGGUGGUGCAUGGUUGUCGUCAGCUCGUGUCGUGAGAUGUUGGGUUAAGUCCCGCAACGAGCGCAACCCUUGUGGUGAGUUACUAACAUUUGGUUGAGGACUCUGGCGAGGCUGCCGAGGUUAACUCGGAGGAAGGUGGGGAUGACGUCAAAUCAUCAUGCCCCUUAUGUUCUGGGCUACACACGUGCUACAAUGGUCGGUACAAUGAGACGCAAAGUCGCGAGGCGGAGCAAAUCACCAAAACCGAUCCCAGUUCGGAUUGCAGGCUGCAACUCGCCUGCAUGAAGUCGGAGUUGCUAGUAAUCGCGAAUCAGCAUGUCGCGGUGAAUGCGUUCCCGGGUCUUGUACACACCGCCCGUCACACCAUGGAAGUUGGGGGCGCCCAAAGUUGGCUAAUUAAUCUGCUACCUAAGGCGAAACCAAUGACUGGGGUGAAGUCGUAACAAGGUAACCGUA